RNAcentral lists this ribosomal RNA (253 nucleotides) under uncultured bacterium. RNAcentral's name for it is "partial 16S ribosomal RNA". It matches the Rfam family "Bacterial small subunit ribosomal RNA", at positions 524 to 776 of the family's 1533-position model. The record is from RNAcentral.
GACGAAGGAUGCAAGCGUUAUCCGGAUUCAUUGGGUUUAAAGGGAGCGUAGGUGGCCUUAUAAGUCAGUGGUGAAAUCUCUGGGCUUAACCCAGAAAUUGCCAUUGAUACUGUAGGGCUUGAGUAUAUAUGCCGUUGGCGGAAUAUGACAUGUAGUGGUGAAAUACAUAGAGAUGUCAUAGAACACCGAUUGCGAAGGCAGCUAACGAAACUAUAACUGACACUGAGGCUCGAAAGUGUGGGGAUCAAACAGG